Molecule: transfer RNA, 93 nt
Filed under: Streptomyces angustmyceticus
Lineage: Bacteria; Bacillati; Actinomycetota; Actinomycetes; Kitasatosporales; Streptomycetaceae
Description: tRNA-Ser
Source: RNAcentral
GUCGGAGUGGUCCACGCGCUGGGCUCGGCCGUCGAGGGGCUGGCCGUGGGGGAGCGGGUCGCGGUGGGCGGGGUCACGCCCUGUUUCCAGUGC